CAAUAAAACAUACCCGUUAAUGGAUAACUGUAGUAAUUCUAGAGCUAAUACAUGCCUCGAUGCCGUGACCCGCAAGGGAAUCGGUGCACUUAUCAGUACAAGACCUCCCGGGCGUCCUAGAUGCCCGCGAACGUCGUGUUGACUCUGGAUAAUUUCUACAGAUCGCAGUCGGCCUUGUGUCGGCGACAGUUCUUUCAAAUGUCUGCCCUAUCAACUUACGAUGGUAGGCAACCUGCCUACCAUGGUGAUAACGGGUAACGGGGAAUCAGGGUUCGAUUCCGGAGAGGGAGCCUGAGAAACGGCUACCACAUCCAAGGAAGGCAGCAGGCGCGCAAAUUACCCACUCCCGGCACGGGGAGGUAGUGACGAAAAAUAACGAUGCGGGGCUCAUUGAGGAUCCGUAAUCGGAAUGAGUACAGUCUAAAGCCUUUAACGAGGACCAAUUGGAGGGCAAGUCUGGUGCCAGCAGCCGCGGUAACUCCAGCUCCAAUAGCGUAUAUUAAAGUUGCUGCAGUUAAAAAGCUCGUAGUUGGAUCUUGACGGCACUGCCGCUGGUCUUUGGUGUCUGUGCCCCGUCUGCUGAUUCGUCAGCUUCGGAGUACUUCGCUAUUGGCCUGUUGGUGGUGCAGUCUUUCAGCCGUGUCUAUGUCCUUUCGGGGUGUAGGUGCUGGUUGCCGGUUGGGCUACGUCCCGAACUGGUGGUCGGUACGCACUACGAUCCGCCUUUAUUGCGUGUCAAUGUGCG
This 745-nucleotide ribosomal RNA is filed under the name Sauricotyle sprostoni. Its description in RNAcentral is "bacterial SSU rRNA". It matches the Rfam family "Eukaryotic small subunit ribosomal RNA", at positions 120 to 771 of the family's 1831-position model. Lineage: Eukaryota; Metazoa; Platyhelminthes; Monogenea; Mazocraeidea; Diclidophoridae. The record is from RNAcentral.